RNAcentral lists this ribosomal RNA (460 nucleotides) under uncultured bacterium. RNAcentral describes it as "partial 16S ribosomal RNA". It matches the Rfam family "Bacterial small subunit ribosomal RNA", at positions 338 to 795 of the family's 1533-position model. The record is from RNAcentral.
CCUACGGGAGGCAGCAGUGAGGAAUAUUGGUCAAUGGGCUUACGCCUGAACCAGCCAAGUCGCGUGAGGGAAGACUGCCCUAUGGGUUUUAAACCUCUUUUGUCAGGGAGCAACGCCGGCUACGUGUAGCCGGACUGAGAGUACCUGAAGAAACAGCAUCGGCUAACUCCGUGCCAGCAGCCGCGGUAAUCCGGAGUAUGCGAGCGUUAUCCGGAUUUUUUGGGUUUAAAGGGUGCGUAGGCGGAAUUCCAAGUCAGCGGUAAAACCGCGGGGCUAAACCUGGCUCUGCCGGUGAAACUGGCGUGCUGGAGUGGGGGAGAGGUAGGCGGAAUGCGUGGUGUAGCGGUGAAAUGCAUAGAUAUCACGCAGAACACCGAUUGCGAAGGCAGCAUACCGGCGCGCAACUGACGCUGAAGCACGAAAGCGUGGGUAUCGAACAGGAUUAGAUACCCGUGUAGUC